RNAcentral lists this ribosomal RNA (530 nucleotides) under uncultured bacterium. RNAcentral's name for it is "partial 16S ribosomal RNA". It matches the Rfam family "Bacterial small subunit ribosomal RNA", at positions 354 to 874 of the family's 1533-position model. The record is from RNAcentral.
UGGGGGAAUUUUUGGACAAUGGGCGAAAGCCUGAUCCCAGCAAUGCCGCGUGUGUGAAGAAGGCCUUCGGGUUGUAAAGCACUUUUGUCCGGAAAGAAAUCCUUGGCUCUAAUACAGUCGGGGGAUGACGGUACCGGAAGAAUAAGCACCGGCUAACUACGUGCCAGCAGCCGCGGUAAUACGUAGGGUGCAAGCGUUAAUCGGAAUUACUGGGCGUAAAGCUGCGCAGGCGGUUUGCUAAGACCGAUGUGAAAUCCCCGGGCUCAACCUGGGAACUGCAUUGGUGACUGGCAGGCUAGAGUAUGGCAGAGGGGGGUGGAAUUCUACGUGUAGUAGUGAAAUGCGUAGAGAUGUGGAGGAAUACCCGAUGGCGAAGGCAGCCCCCGUGGGCCAAUACUGACGCUCAUGCACGAAAGCGUGGGGAGCAAACAGGAUUAGAUACCCUGGUAGUCCACGCCCUAAACGAUGUCAACUAGUUGUUGGGGAUUCAUUUCCUUAGUAACGUAGCUAACGCGUGAAGUUGACCGCCU